GACCCAACACAGCCAAAAAAAUUGCUGCAAAAUGAAGUAAUUGUCAUAGUAAGGAAUUCAGGGGCUGCCUUGUUUGAGAGUUUGAUGACAGAGCAGCCAGGGCAGGUGGGGAGUGAGAGAUGGGUGAUUCAGGCAAUGUCCUCCUUGCUUUCACUUCAGAGAGAAGGAUGCAGGAGCCCCAGAUCUGCGAGGCCAGAGAUCUGGUUCUCAGCCUUAACACUUCCUUCUUCCUUGCUUUCCAACUCUUAAUCAGUCAAAAAGUACUUUUGGGGCUCCUAAAUGUUUUUGCAGCUCUGCCCACAGUCUUUUUUAUUUUUUUUUACUGAGAAAUUCUCUUAUUUUAUUCCUUUGUGGUCUUAUUUGUUUACAUACAAAAAAAUCCAUCUGAAAUAUUUUGUUUUUGUUGUUUCAUCCUGUGAGGUAUAAAUCUAAUUGGAUUUUUCUCAGGCUCCCAAGAAGAGUUGUCAGUGCUUCCUUCCUAUCCCUAACACCUAACCACCCCACCUAGAGCACACCCAAGACACCCCAGAAAUGCACCCAGAGGGGAAACAACCCUUACUUUCAUUCUACUCAAGUUCUUUCCAGUUGCCCAGAAUUCUGCUUCCUUCAGUCAUCUCUAGGUGUCAUCCGAGAGGAGCCUCUCCAGGCUGGAUUUUCAGCACAGACACAGAGGUUUGGCUGGCCUAGGGAAACUGGGAUGCUUGGGGGUCCUGCCCUGCCGCCGGUGCCGAGCCUGAGCUCUGCCCCAGUGCCGGGCCCCCAGCUCUGUCUCCUCCCAGCACCUGGGGCCGGGUGAGUGGCCCUCUCGGCAGAGGGGAGCUCCACCCCCGGCGUCCCUAUCCCCAACGAAGGAGAAUUGCCCUCUGUGAUUUUACGUGGAAUCUGCCAGCAAGAGCCGCCUGAGAGACUAGACAAUGGAGCUCUCUGUAUCACUGCAGAAAAGGAGAACAAAAAUGCUGACACUUCAGUGAUUACAUCUGGUAUCCGCAGUCACCCGGGAGCGUCCCAAAGAUGACCCAAUAGAUGAGACGUACCUUUUCUUCAGAGCUUAAAUUAGCUUUCAACUAUCUAAAAGAGUGGCCUUUUCUGGACAAUGGAAUCAUAUACCCCUCUAGUUUUGACAUUGCCUCUUAUCUCCAAUGAGAAAUGCCAGAUUGAACUUCAGCUCUGUGGAAACUGACCAGCUAGACAUAGGUUCACAAAACUGAAUGAACAUCAGAAUCGGCCUGUGAUGGGGAAUGCUGCUGCACACGGACAGUGAAGAUGACACCCAGUCCUAGAUGUGUUUGCUGAGCACUGAGGAUGCUCCCACAAAGUAAGGAAGUUGCAGAAUCUCCUGAGAACCCAGAGAGGGCUCAGGCAAGGCUGAGCACAGGCUCCGGACACGCAGGCUCAGAGGCCAUAGCUCACGGGUCC
Delphinapterus leucas (beluga whale) is the source of this 1416-nucleotide non-coding RNA. NCBI's taxonomy places the organism in Eukaryota, Metazoa, Chordata, Mammalia, Artiodactyla, Monodontidae. The record is from RefSeq and is a predicted model, not a curated record.